GCAUUCGUGGUGUAAUGGUCAGCACGCUCGGCGCGUAUUCGAGAGGUCCGUGGUUCAAGUCCCGGCGAGGGCA
This 73-nucleotide transfer RNA is filed under the name Stegodyphus mimosarum. It matches the Rfam family "tRNA". Rfam says of the family: Transfer RNA (tRNA) molecules are approximately 80 nucleotides in length. Their secondary structure includes four short double-helical elements and three loops (D, anti-codon, and T loops). Further hydrogen bonds mediate the characteristic L-shaped molecular structure. tRNAs have two regions of fundamental functional importance: the anti-codon, which is responsible for specific mRNA codon recognition, and the 3' end, to which the tRNAs corresponding amino acid is attached (by aminoacyl-tRNA synthetases). tRNAs cope with the degeneracy of the genetic code in two manners: having more than one tRNA (with a specific anti-codon) for a particular amino acid; and 'wobble' base-pairing, i.e. permitting non-standard base-pairing at the 3rd anti-codon position. Lineage: Eukaryota; Metazoa; Arthropoda; Arachnida; Araneae; Eresidae. The record is from Rfam by way of RNAcentral.